RNAcentral lists this ribosomal RNA (1453 nucleotides) under Streptomyces xantholiticus. RNAcentral describes it as "bacterial SSU rRNA". It matches the Rfam family "Bacterial small subunit ribosomal RNA". The record is from RNAcentral. Lineage: Bacteria; Bacillati; Actinomycetota; Actinomycetes; Kitasatosporales; Streptomycetaceae.
ACUGCGGUCUACCAUGCAAGUCGAACGAUGAACCUCCUUCGGGAGGGGAUUAGUGGCGAACGGGUGAGUAACACGUGGGCAAUCUGCCCUUCACUCUGGGACAAGCCCUGGAAACGGGGUCUAAUACCGGAUAACACUGCGGAUCGCAUGGUCUGCGGUUAAAAGCUCCGGCGGUGAAGGAUGAGCCCGCGGCCUAUCAGCUAGUUGGUGGGGUAAUGGCCUACCAAGGCGACGACGGGUAGCCGGCCUGAGAGGGCGACCGGCCACACUGGGACUGAGACACGGCCCAGACUCCUACGGGAGGCAGCAGUGGGGAAUAUUGCACAAUGGGCGAAAGCCUGAUGCAGCGACGCCGCGUGAGGGAUGACGGCCUUCGGGUUGUAAACCUCUUUCAGCAGGGAAGAAGCGAAAGUGACGGUACCUGCAGAAGAAGCGCCGGCUAACUACGUGCCAGCAGCCGCGGUAAUACGUAGGGCGCAAGCGUUGUCCGGAAUUAUUGGGCGUAAAGAGCUCGUAGGCGGCUUGUCACGUCGGAUGUGAAAGCCCGGGGCUUAACCCCGGGUCUGCAUUCGAUACGGGCAGGCUAGAGUGUGGUAGGGGAGAUCGGAAUUCCUGGUGUAGCGGUGAAAUGCGCAGAUAUCAGGAGGAACACCGGUGGCGAAGGCGGAUCUCUGGGCCAUUACUGACGCUGAGGAGCGAAAGCGUGGGGAGCGAACAGGAUUAGAUACCCUGGUAGUCCACGCCGUAAACGUUGGGAACUAGGUGUUGGCGACAUUCCACGUCGUCGGUGCCGCAGCUAACGCAUUAAGUUCCCCGCCUGGGGAGUACGGCCGCAAGGCUAAAACUCAAAGGAAUUGACGGGGGCCCGCACAAGCAGCGGAGCAUGUGGCUUAAUUCGACGCAACGCGAAGAACCUUACCAAGGCUUGACAUCGCCCGGAAAGCAUCAGAGAUGGUGCCCCCCUUGUGGUCGGGUGACAGGUGGUGCAUGGCUGUCGUCAGCUCGUGUCGUGAGAUGUUGGGUUAAGUCCCGCAACGAGCGCAACCCUUGUUCUGUGUUGCCAGCAUGCCCUUCGGGGUGAUGGGGACUCACAGGAGACUGCCGGGGUCAACUCGGAGGAAGGUGGGGACGACGUCAAGUCAUCAUGCCCCUUAUGUCUUGGGCUGCACACGUGCUACAAUGGCCGGUACAAAGAGCUGCGAAGCCGCGAGGCGGAGCGAAUCUCAAAAAGCCGGUCUCAGUUCGGAUUGGGGUCUGCAACUCGACCCCAUGAAGUCGGAGUUGCUAGUAAUCGCAGAUCAGCAUUGCUGCGGUGAAUACGUUCCCGGGCCUUGUACACACCGCCCGUCACGUCACGAAAGUCGGUAACACCCGAAGCCGGUGGCCCAACCCCUUGUGGGAGGGAGCUGUCGAAGGUGGGACUGGCGAUUGGGACGAAGUCGAACAGAGCGCG